GUCACCUACGGGGCGCAGCAGUGAGGAAUAUUGGUCAAUGGCCGAGAGGCUGAACCAGCCAAGUCGCGUGAGGGAAGACUGCCCUAUGGGUUGUAAACCUCUUUUGUCAGGGAGCAACGCCGGCUACGUGUAGCCGGACUGAGAGUACCUGAAGAAAAAGCAUCGGCUAACUCCGUGCCAGCAGCCGCGGUAAUACGGAGGAUGCGAGCGUUAUCCGGAUUUAUUGGGUUUAAAGGGUGCGUAGGCGGAAUGCCAAGUCAGCGGUAAAAUCG
RNAcentral lists this ribosomal RNA (272 nucleotides) under uncultured bacterium. Its description in RNAcentral is "partial 16S ribosomal RNA". It matches the Rfam family "Bacterial small subunit ribosomal RNA", at positions 334 to 602 of the family's 1533-position model. The record is from RNAcentral.